AUUGAACGCUGGCGGCAGGCCUAACACAUGCAAGUCGAGCGGAUGAAGGGAGCUUGCUCCUGGAUUCAGCGGCGGACGGGUGAGUAAUGCCUAGGAAUCUGCCUGGUAGUGGGGGAUAACGUCCGGAAACGGGCGCUAAUACCGCAUACGUCCUGAGGGAGAAAGUGGGGGAUCUUCGGACCUCACGCUAUCAGAUGAGCCUAGGUCGGAUUAGCUAGUUGGUGGGUAAAGGCCUACCAAGGCGACGAUCCGUACCUGGUCUGAGAGGAUGAUCAGUCACACUGGAACUGAGACACGGUCCAGACUCCUACGGGAGGCAGCAGUGGGGAAUAUUGGACAAUGGGCGAAAGCCUGAUCCAGCCAUGCCGCGUGUGUGAAGAAGGUCUUCGGAUUGUAAAGCACUUUAAGUUGGGAGGAAGGGCAGUAAGUUAAUACCUUGCUGUUUUGACGUUACCAACAGAAUAAGCACCGGCUAACUUCGUG
Molecule: ribosomal RNA, 483 nt
Filed under: uncultured bacterium
Lineage: Bacteria
Description: partial 16S ribosomal RNA
Rfam family: Bacterial small subunit ribosomal RNA
Source: RNAcentral